This 253-nucleotide ribosomal RNA is filed under the name uncultured bacterium. RNAcentral's name for it is "partial 16S ribosomal RNA". It matches the Rfam family "Bacterial small subunit ribosomal RNA", at positions 524 to 776 of the family's 1533-position model. The record is from RNAcentral.
UACGAAGGGGGCUAGCGUUGCUCGGAAUUACUGGGCGUAAAGCGCACGUAGGCGGAUUGUUAAGUCGGGGGUGAAAUCCUGGAGCUCAACUCCAGAACUGCCUUUGAUACUGGCGAUCUCGAGUUCGGGAGAGGUGAGUGGAACUGCGAGUGUAGAGGUGAAAUUCGUAGAUAUUCGCAAGAACACCAGUGGCGAAGGCGGCUCACUGGCCCGAUACUGACGCUGAGGUGCGAAAGCGUGGGGAGCAAACAGG